RNAcentral lists this ribosomal RNA (395 nucleotides) under uncultured bacterium. RNAcentral describes it as "bacterial SSU rRNA". It matches the Rfam family "Bacterial small subunit ribosomal RNA", at positions 28 to 429 of the family's 1533-position model. The record is from RNAcentral.
GACGAACGCUGGCGGCAUGCCUUACACAUGCAAGUCGAACGGCAGCGGACCUUCGGGUGCCGGCGAGUGGCGAACGGGUGAGUAAUGCAUCGGAACGUGCCAUUGAGUGGGGGAUAACGUAGCGAAAGUUGCGCUAAUACCGCAUAUUCUGUGAGCAGGAAAGCAGGGGACCGCAAGGCCUUGCGCUCUUUGAGCGGCCGAUGUCAGAUUAGCUAGUUGGUGAGGUAACGGCUUACCAAGGCGACGAUCUGUAGCGGGUCUGAGAGGAUGAUCCGCCACACUGGAACUGAGACACGGUCCAGACUCCUACGGGAGGCAGCAGUGGGGAAUUUUGGACAAUGGGGGCAACCCUGAUCCAGCCACGCCGCGUGAGUGAAGAAGGCCUCGGUUGUAAG